RNAcentral lists this ribosomal RNA (403 nucleotides) under bacterium. Its description in RNAcentral is "partial 16S ribosomal RNA". It matches the Rfam family "Bacterial small subunit ribosomal RNA", at positions 355 to 776 of the family's 1533-position model. The record is from RNAcentral.
UGGGGAAUAUUGCACAAUGGGGGAAACCCUGAUGCAGCGACGCCGCGUGAACGAAGAAGGUAUUCGUAUCGUAAAGUUCUGUCCUAUGGGAAGAUAAUGACAGUACCAUAGAAGAAAGCUCCGGCUAAAUACGUGCCAGCAGCCGCGGUAAUACGUAUGGAGCGAGCGUUGUCCGGAAUUAUUGGGCGUAAAGGGUACGCAGGCGGUUUAAUAAGUCGAAUGUUAAAGAUCGGGGCUCAACCCCGCAAAGCAUUGGAAACUGAUAAACUUGAGUAGUGGAGAGGAAAGUGGAAUUCAUAGUGUAGUGGUGAAAUACGUAGAUAUUAGGAGGAAUACCAGUAGCGAAGGCGACUUUCUGGACACAAACUGACGCUGAGGUACGAAAGCGUGGGGAGCAAACAGG